AUGAUAGGAAAUAGCCUUAAAAGGCUCCUUUUUGGUAAGAAGGUCCUAAUCAUCUUUGAUGACCUGUGGGAAAGGGAACAAACUGAGUUGGAAAAAUUGAAGAAUAUGCUAAAGCCGGGUGAAGGGAGCAAAGUGGUGGCGGUAGUAACCACACGAGAAGAAAAUAUUGCACAGAAAAUUCAGGCGGUGGAGCCGUACAAGCUAGCUCCCUUGACAGAUGACAUUUGUUGGGCUAUCAUAAAAGAUAAGACUUCCUUUGAUGCUAGAACUGACAGAGCACAGUUAGAGAUGAUCGGGAAGGACAUUGCAAAGAAGUGUGGAGGCAUGGCUUUAGCAGCCCAAUCUAUUGGGUAUAUGCUGGACUAUAUGAAGUCAUCUGAUGAAUGGGUGUCGCUGAACAACAGUGAGUUCUGGGACGUGCUUGCCUCAAAAGAAUUUUCACCUCAUCAGGUGCAUGCAUCCUUGCUGCUAAGCUAUCGCAGUAUGGGUUCAUAUUUGAAGCUAUGCUUUGUCUAUUGUGCAAUCUUUCCAAAAGGUCACUGGAUAGCUAAAGAAGCUCUAGUUCACCAAUGGGUUGCUCUUGGACUUGUUGAGCCACCAAUGGCAUCAUCCUACAAUCAACAUAGCAGUGAUAGAUAUAUUAAUCAGCUUUUAGGCAUGUGCUUCCUUGAACAUCCAAAGUCGUCAUGGAGUAUGCAAGUUGAAACUGAAUUCUUGGUCAUGCAUGACCUAGUACAUGAUCUCGCAAGAUCUGUUCUGGCCGAUGAAAUUGGUAUAGAGGAUCAAACCUGCCGAUAUGCGUGGCUGACAGAUCACAGAAAGCUAUUCAAGUCAUCAAUGACCCCACUCGCCAAGAUAAGGGCACUGCAUUUUCAUGAUCGUAGCAACUAUCAGCUUGAUCGUGAUGCAUUUUCACCAGCUAAAUGCCUCCGUGUUUUAGAUUUAAGCAGAUAUUGUACGCAAGAGUUGCCUGAUUCUAUUGGUCAGCUGAAACAGUUGAGGUAUCUCGAUGCUUCUUCAUGGAGCCGGAAGCGCGAACGGUGGGAGUCUACAAGGAUACCAAAAGCUCUGGGUGCCCUUAACAAACUGCAGUAUUUGAAUUUAUCACGACGUGGCAGGCUCGUAGGACUGCCAAAGGUCAUGAGCAAUCUCAUGGAACUCCGGUAUCUAAAUAUAUCACACUGCCACGGUUAUUAUUUAUCAGACAGCCCAUCGGCAAAUCAAAGUUUCAUUGACUGUAUCGGUACCCUUCCCAAUCUGGAGCAGCUGGACCUGUCUUGGAAUGACUAUUGUUUUUGUGUACCUGAAAGUUUUAGCAGCCUCAACAAACUGAACCUCCGCGGCUGCAUGCACAUUGCUAGCCUUCCAGAAAAUGUGGCCAAAUUGGAUAUCCUCAGGCUUUUUGGAUUGUUGCAAUACGGGGGGUUUCCUGUGCGUGCAGAUGAUAGUGAAUCUAGCAGCAGCAAUCUUGUCUUUCUUAAGCAUGCAAAUCCUCAAGUGUUGAGUAUCAAAGAUCUUGUAAAUGUGAAGUCUGUAGAAGAGGCAUGCUGUAUAAGGUUGAUGGAAAAACAGAGCAUCGAAGAAUUGACAUUGCGGUGGGGCGAAGGCGCGAGUUCUGUGGAACACAUGGCGCUGCUAAAAGAGCUAGUGCCACCAACAAGUGUACAGAAUUUGAAUAUAUUUGGCUACAAGGGUGUCAUAUUUCCAUACUGGGUUAUGCAUAUAAGCAAAUAUCUUCCUAAUCUUGUGAGCUUGAGGUUGUGGAGUCUGUCGUGCAGCGGCCUACCAACACUCGUCCAACUACCCAACCUACGCAAGAUUUUUCUUGGCUACAUGUAUAACCUGGAAGAAUUUACCACAGGGUGCUCCAUGAGUGGGGAUGGUGCAAAUGAGCUCACGUUGCCUAAACUUGAGCAUCUGGAAAUGUACAGGUGCCCCAAGUUGAGGAUCAAACCGUGUCCUCCUAGAGCUGUGCACUGGUUUAUAUCAAGUAGUGAUAACGCGCUAUCGUCAUGGGAAGAGUGUGCCUCGACCUCGAGCACACCUGCUUCCUCCUCUUCUCCUCCCGUGAAUAAACUGAAAGUUGAGAAGUCCGAGUUGCCUUUGCACCAGUGGAGAUUGCUUCACCACCUUCCUGGCCUUAAUGAUGUAACCAUCUCCGAUUGCGAUGAUCUGACUAUCUCACCACAGAUCGGCCAAGCCUUCAAGUCCCUGGAAUCACUCUCCCUCGAAUGCAUUGAAAUGAAAAUUCUGCCAGAAUGGUUGGGUGAGCUCACAUCUCUUCGACAACUCAACUUAAUAUGCAUGAACUUCCUACAAGAAUUGGACAAGAACAUGAAGCAACUUACACAGUUGCAAUCGCUGAGUCUGAAGAACUGCAAUGCGUUGACAACACUGCCGCAAUGGUUAGGAGGACUCACCUUGCUCAAGACACUUGAGAUUCAUUUUUGCAAGAGCAUCAUCUCUUUACCGGAGAGUUUAAUCAUCAACCUCCAAGAACUUCAUAUUUCGGACUGCCCUCACUUAUAUGGUUGGUGUAAGUCAGAGGUGAACCAGAUGAAACUGUCUCGCGUCAAGGAAAAGAUUAUUACUAGUGCCUUGUAA
This 2604-nucleotide ribosomal RNA is filed under the name Triticum aestivum (bread wheat). Its description in RNAcentral is "partial small subunit ribosomal RNA". Lineage: Eukaryota; Viridiplantae; Streptophyta; Magnoliopsida; Poales; Poaceae. The record is from RNAcentral.